Molecule: ribosomal RNA, 484 nt
Filed under: uncultured bacterium
Lineage: Bacteria
Description: partial 16S ribosomal RNA
Rfam family: Bacterial small subunit ribosomal RNA
Source: RNAcentral
AUUGAACGCUGGCGGAAUGCUUUACACAUGCAAGUCGAGCGGCAGCGCGGCCCUCGGGCUGGCGGCGAGCGGCGAACGGGUGAGUAAUGCAUCGGAACAUGCCCAGUCGUGGGGGAUAACACUUCGAAAGAAGUGCUAAUACCGUAUACGUCCUGAGGGGGAAAGCGGGGGAUCGCAAGACCUCGCGCGAUUGGAGUGGCCGAUGUCAGAUUAGCUAGUUGGUGGGGUAAAGGCCUACCGAGGCGACGAUCUGUAGCUGGUCUGAGAGGAUGAUCAGCCACACUGGGACUGAGACACGGCCCAGACUCCUACGGGAGGCAGCAGUGGGGAAUUUUGGACAAUGGGGGCAACCCUGAUCCAGCCAUUCCGCGUGAGUGAAGAAGGCCUUCGGGUUGUAAAGCUCUUUCGGCAGGAACGAAACGGUGGGCUCUAACAUAGUCCGCUAAUGACGGUACCUGAAGAAGAAGCACCGGCUAACUACGUG